This 253-nucleotide ribosomal RNA is filed under the name uncultured bacterium. Its description in RNAcentral is "partial 16S ribosomal RNA". It matches the Rfam family "Bacterial small subunit ribosomal RNA", at positions 524 to 776 of the family's 1533-position model. The record is from RNAcentral.
UACGAAGGGGGCUAGCGUUGCUCGGAAUCACUGGGCGUAAAGCGCACGUAGGCGGAUUCUUAGGUCGGUGGUGAAAUCCUGGAGCUCAACUCCAGAACUGCCUUCGAUACUGAGAGUCUUGAGUUCGGGAGAGGUGAGUGGAACUGCGAGUGUAGAGGUGAAAUUCGUAGAUAUUCGCAAGAACACCAGUGGCGAAGGCGGCUCACUGGCCCGAUACUGACGCUGAGGUGCGAAAGCCAGGGGAGCGAACGGG